AGAGUUUGAUCAUGGCUCAGGAUGAACGCUAGCGGCAGGCUUAACACAUGCAAGUCGAGGGGUAUAGGUUUUCGGACCUAGAGACCGGCGCACGGGUGCGUAACGCGUAUGCAAUCUACCUUUUACAGAGGGAUAGCCCAGAGAAAUUUGGAUUAAUACCUCAUAGUAUUAUUGAAUGGCAUCAUUUAAUAAUUAAAGUCACAACGGUAAAAGAUGAGCAUGCGUCCCAUUAGCUAGUUGGUAAGGUAACGGCUUACCAAGGCAACGAUGGGUAGGGGUCCUGAGAGGGAGAUCCCCCACACUGGUACUGAGACACGGACCAGACUCCUACGGGAGGCAGCAGUGAGGAAUAUUGGUCAAUGGGCGCAAGCCUGAACCAGCCAUGCCGCGUGCAGGAUGACGGUCCUAUGGAUUGUAAACUGCUUUUGCACAGGAAGAAACACUCGGACGUGUCCGAGCUUGACGGUACUGUGAGAAUAAGGAUCGGCUAACUCCGUGCCAGCAGCCGCGGUAAUACGGAGGAUCCAAGCGUUAUCCGGAAUCAUUGGGUUUAAAGGGUCCGUAGGCGGUUUUGUAAGUCAGUGGUGAAAGCCCAUCGCUCAACGGUGGAACGGCCAUUGAUACUGCAAGACUUGAAUUAUUGGGAAGCAACUAGAAUAUGUAGUGUAGCGGUGAAAUGCUUAGAGAUUACAUGGAAUACCAAUUGCGAAGGCAGGUUGCUACCAAUACAUUGACGCUGAUGGACGAAAGCGUGGGGAGCGAACAGGAUUAGAUACCCUAGUAGUCC
RNAcentral lists this ribosomal RNA (787 nucleotides) under uncultured bacterium. Its description in RNAcentral is "bacterial SSU rRNA". It matches the Rfam family "Bacterial small subunit ribosomal RNA", at positions 8 to 796 of the family's 1533-position model. The record is from RNAcentral.